Molecule: non-coding RNA, 100 nt
Organism: Chelonoidis abingdonii (Abingdon island giant tortoise)
Lineage: Eukaryota; Metazoa; Chordata; Testudines; Testudinidae
Source: RefSeq, a predicted model, not a curated record
GGCACAUAGCAAACAGUAUGUAAAACAGUAUGACACCAAAGAGGAGUAGGGAGAGAUCUACACACACAGAGGAGGAUGAGAUGACAGUAAGGGGUCUCUG